GUAAUUCAACUUAGUACGAGAGGAACCGUUGAUUCAGAUAAUUGGUCUCUGCGGCUGUCCGACCGGGCAGUGCCGCGACGCUACCAUCUGCUGGAUUAUGGCUGAACGCCUCUAAGUCAGAAUCCACGCUAGAAGCGGUGCAUGUCACUCUUCGACUGUAUCUCGACCCGCAGUAGGGGCGUCGCUUUGUCGCCCCCAGGGGCCCGUGUCAUUUGCAAACCGCGACCGUGAAGCAUCUCGGUCGGGGCAGCUUUGAAGUUCAAUUCCAAAUGGUCGGCGAGAAGAAUCCUUUGCAGACGACUUAAAUACGCGACGGGGUAUUGUAAGUGGCAGAGUGGCCUUGCUGCCACGAUCCACUGAGAUUCAGCCCUUGGU
This 375-nucleotide ribosomal RNA is filed under the name Ochromonas sp. CCMP1393. RNAcentral describes it as "partial Eukaryotic large subunit ribosomal RNA". It matches the Rfam family "Eukaryotic large subunit ribosomal RNA", at positions 3019 to 3389 of the family's 3401-position model. Lineage: Eukaryota; Chrysophyceae; Chromulinales; Chromulinaceae. The record is from RNAcentral.